AUUGAACGCUGGCGGCAUGCCUUACACAUGCAAGUCGAACGGCAGCACGGGGGCAACCCUGGUGGCGAGUGGCGAACGGGUGAGUAAUGCAUCGGAACGUGCCCAGUAGUGGGGGAUAACUAGUCGAAAGAUUAGCUAAUACCGCAUACGACCUAUGGGUGAAAGCGGGGGAUUCGCAAGAACCUCGCGCUAUCGGAGCGGCCGAUGUCUGAUUAGCUAGUGGCGGGGUAAAGGCCCACCAAGGCUUCGAUCAGUAGCUGGUCUGAGAGGACGACCAGCCACACUGGGACUGAGACACGGCCCAGACUCCUACGGGAGGCAGCAGUGGGGAAUUUUGGACAAUGGGCGCAAGCCUGAUCCAGCCAUGCCGCGUGCGGGAAGAA
This 383-nucleotide ribosomal RNA is filed under the name uncultured bacterium. RNAcentral describes it as "bacterial SSU rRNA". It matches the Rfam family "Bacterial small subunit ribosomal RNA", at positions 29 to 412 of the family's 1533-position model. The record is from RNAcentral.